AGUCCUAAAAACAAAAUCUUCGCAUCCUUCUGCCACAAUCCUAGUGAUGCUAACACUCCGUAGAACCAAUCCAACACAAACAUCGCUUCUUCCUAUUUGAUAAUAGAAAACCACUCAGCUUCAGGCGUUCCUUCGAUCUCUUUUUCUGAGGUUCUGUUGCUUUGGUUUCCUUUGCUUAAUGUUUUAUGUUUCCAAGAGGCGUUCCAAUUUGUUGAUCUCUUUUUUCUGAGGUUCAGAGGUGGAAGGAGGUAUAAGUAUUUAUAUUAGGGGGUGAAGUUUGACUGGUUAAUGGUGGAACCUGUUGCACAUGAGGAAAGAUAAUAGGAACUGGAGACAAAGAUGGUGACUCGAAUUGGCCGGUUGCGUGUUUU
RNAcentral lists this long non-coding RNA (371 nucleotides) under Nicotiana benthamiana. RNAcentral describes it as "long non-coding RNA (NBEN_LNC014189)". The record is from RNAcentral. Lineage: Eukaryota; Viridiplantae; Streptophyta; Magnoliopsida; Solanales; Solanaceae.